GAUGAAGAACGCAGCGAAAUGCGAUAAGUAAUGUGAAUUGCAGAAUUCAGUGAAUCAUCGAAUCUUUGAACGCACCUUGCGCUCCUUGGUAUUCCGAGGAGCAUGCCUGUUUGAGUGUCAUUAAAUUAUCAACCUCACCAGUUUUGUGAUGAAACUGUGUA
RNAcentral lists this ribosomal RNA (161 nucleotides) under Coprinellus sp. 2 LGN-2011. RNAcentral's name for it is "5.8S ribosomal RNA". The stretch from base 1 to 120 matches the Rfam family "5.8S ribosomal RNA", at positions 35 to 154 of the family's 154-position model. From Rfam's summary of the family: 5.8S ribosomal RNA (5.8S rRNA) is a component of the large subunit of the eukaryotic ribosome. It is transcribed by RNA polymerase I as part of the 45S precursor that also contains 18S and 28S rRNA. The record is from RNAcentral. Lineage: Eukaryota; Fungi; Basidiomycota; Agaricomycetes; Agaricales; Psathyrellaceae.